GCGGACGGGUGAGUAACACGUGGAUAACCUACCUAUAAGACUGGGAUAACUUCGGGAAACCGGAGCUAAUACCGGAUAAUAUUUUGAACCGCAUGGUUCAAAAGUGAAAGACGGUCUUGCUGUCACUUAUAGAUGGAUCCGCGCUGCAUUAGCUAGUUGGUAAGGUAACGGCUUACCAAGGCAACGAUGCAUAGCCGACCUGAGAGGGUGAUCGGCCACACUGGAACUGAGACACGGUCCAGACUCCUACGGGAGGCAGCAGUAGGGAAUCUUCCGCAAUGGGCGAAAGCCUGACGGAGCAACGCCGCGUGAGUGAUGAAGGUCUUCGGAUCGUAAAACUCUGUUAUUAGGGAAGAACAUAUGUGUAAGUAACUGUGCACAUCUUGACGGUACCUAAUCAGAAAGCCACGGCUAACUACGUGCCAGCAGCCGCGGUAAUACGUAGGUGGCAAGCGUUAUCCGGAAUUAUUGGGCGUAAAGCGCGCGUAGGCGGUUUUUUAAGUCUGAUGU
Molecule: ribosomal RNA, 510 nt
Filed under: Staphylococcus aureus
Lineage: Bacteria; Bacillati; Bacillota; Bacilli; Caryophanales; Staphylococcaceae
Description: bacterial SSU rRNA
Rfam family: Bacterial small subunit ribosomal RNA
Source: RNAcentral